GGCGGCGCCGCGCCGCGCCUCGCGGUGGGAAGUACUGUAGCGGCUGCGGCCGCGCCGGCGAGAUGGGCCUGCGUCCUCCCUGAGAGGCGGGCUGCAACAGGUGAAGCCCUUUCCGCCCUGGAGCAGGAGCCCCGAUGCGUGCUUAUAACAGGGUCUUGAGCUACACGAGUGAGGCGCGCUCCAGGAUGUGUUGGUGUUGAGUUUUGUGGGGAGUUUCAUUUUCCUUCUAUUAGCGGUGGUACGCUAAAGGCCGUCAUCCCGGUGCCAGCAGCCGGUUGGCUCUGCAGAUGUCAGGGCUUGGAAGCGCUACGGGAGAGCCCAGGCUCGGGGCAGGGCGGCACGGACCCGCAAUGUGUCAUUUGGACGCGAUGAAGGCACCGUGUUUGCCCAGGCAUGCUUUAUAAAUGUUCCGCUGGAUUUAUAAAUUUAACUCCAACAGAAUUUUGGAAGUGUUAGGGAGUCCGAAUGCUGCAGACUGGAGAGGAGCUUGUAGUACUUUCUUUUACUAUUAAUAUGGCUUUCAUCUCAGCAUUUCAGAAAGAAGAGAUAUUAAAUAUGUAGACAGUAGGAAAAUGGAAAAAAAUGAACUUCAUGAUUGCAUGUGUGUGAAAGAAGAGGAAAAUUAUUUUUCACUCCAUCACUUAUUCAUAAGUAACAACUGUUCGCAUGUCAAAGCAAUUUUUCUUCUCUGUUCUACCACUAUUUCUGUUUUAAAUAAGCAUCUAGCAAGUCAGUAAAAAUACUCUUCCAAAUUGGGUAAUGGCUGUUCUUUACCAGGUCUUAGCCACCUGCUGCAAUAAAAAUAACACUAAUGCCACUGGAAGAAUUCUUCAUGUCAAUAGUCAAGAAACUUUGCAAUAAAAACCAAGAAGAGUGAGAAGAGUGACAAAGAACAACAAAUCAUCCAUAAUAAGCAGAUUAACCUAUAUGUCAGUUAUCUCAACUUAGUCUUUCUUCUUUACAUAUCUGGGCAGAAAUUUUUAAAUUCACUAAAGAAAUCCCAGAGAAAAGCAGGUGGAAGAGCUCACAGAUCCACCUCUUUGAUCUGUCUACCCCUCCUCAGGAGUAGCUACUUCCUGUUGAGUCUGUGUAUAAUAACAGACACACAGAAUGCUGGUGAAUCUUUUUAGUUUCUGGGCUAGUGAGCAGAAGGAAGAGGCACCUUUGCUCUUGUCAUGCCACCACAGGCACCAAAUGUGCUCCACUUUUGGCUGCAGCUGCACUGGUGUAGCACUUGAAUAACUUGCAAAUUUUCAUCUGAAGUGGAACUUUUGUACUGUGAGGUUUGCCCCAAGUUCCCUCCACUUUCUGAAACCAAGUGGGAAGAUGUGUUUACUCCAGAGAAGAAAUCAGGAAGUGUUAAAGACAUAUCUAAGCUUUCUUUCAGUGGAUAUUCUCGAGGGAAGACCUUACGGAGCUGAGCAUUUCUUGUUUCCAUGUCACCGUUUUGGGAAGUUUCUAUUCCAGAGCUACGCCGAGAAGAAGGAAUGGCUGCAAAACAGCAAGCUUAACUUGGCUAACUUCCUGCAUGUAAUCAAAGGCUAUUCUGUGAGCUGCUUGGAAAAACACCUUUGGCCACUAUGCAGAAAUUCCUUCCUAAUAAUCUUUUCAGAGCAUUAGGCCGGUUGUAGUCAGUUUUGCUCAUUACAGUAAAGUAUAAAAGGCUUGAGCAUUCCACCAGUUGUUCUAAUCUAAAAGGAAGGUCACAUACACCUGCACAGUUGUCUUUGUAUGAAACACACCAAGGUCUAAAUGUUUAAAAACAAUGGCAGGCAACAUAAUGCUGGCCAACAUAAGUCAUCCCAGUGGUUAAGUCUUGUCAGGAAAGAAGAGACUGGGCAUUCCUGCAUUGACGCUGGACAAGGGUCUGGAUUCAUGCACUGCAUAAAAGAUUUCUAAACUCUCAGAGGGUAGGGGGUCAAAGACAGAGAAGGAGACUUGGGAAUGGAGGCUGGAGGGUUCUUGGAGCUAAAGCUAUGAGGAAAAAAAAGCAGGAAAAAUUGAGGAUACAGGACUAAAAUAAUCAAAACAAGAAAGAAUGAUAGACCUCCUGAAACAACUGGAUUUACAAUGCUAAACCGAAUCUUUUUAAACUUGUUUCUGUGUGCCUUUUUAUAUAACAAGAGGUUUCAUUUCUUGGAAGAAGGCUAUAGGUUUUUCAGAUAACAAAUGUAUUCUAACAUCAUGUGAAAGCUUAAAAAAACCUACUGUAUGUAAAGGUUAUCAUGCUUUGCAGUGUAGUGAAACUGGGAAUUUAAAUGCAGGAAAAGCAGACAGAAGUAUGAGUGUUGAUGAAAUUACCAUUUUAAGAUUGGCUGGUGAAGAAAGUAGUAUAGUUGGUCACUGUACUCAGUUUUACAAUUCUACUGUUUUAUAGUUUUACUGUUUCAUAAAACAGUUUCUUGCAUUAUGUUCAGAGGCUAUUUUUAAUUUAAGACCUAAAAAAAGAACUUCUGUGUUUUGCUAGCCUUUUAUAUCAAAUACUUUAGGAUAAAUAUUGCUAGCUCUUUAGAGUUUCUUUGUUGAAGUGGAAAUAAACUGGCAGCACCAAAUGAGCCCUUUCAAAGAGCAACUUUUAUUUUAAUUAAAUUCCAUGUUGAUUCUACAGCUGGAGUUAGAGACUAACUAGAAUCUAAAAGCAUUUAGAAAAAUCUACUUUAAAUACUAAGCAUACUUUGCCCAUUUUCUAGAAUAGUCAAAAGAAACAAACAUCUAAAACUGGGCUAAAUCCUCUUGACAUUAAUUUCUGUAUACUCUGCUUUUCUGUAGCUCAAUACUUAAUGUAUGAAGUCAUUCUCAGAUGGACUGAAGAGGAAGGCAUUGUUUGUGCCAUAGUCCCAGAGCUGUCUGAAUUAAUGCUGCUCUGUAUUUCCUCUAGGACUGAGCACAUUCAGUUUACAUUUAUUGAAAAUAGAUCCUGGGAAUGAAUUAUUUGUUCCUUAUAUGGAGCCUUGUGUUGAGAUACCUGUUGAGACAAUUUAGCUCGCUACUAAGUCACUAGGGAUAAAAGCACCACUGUUACAAGCAAAAUAACAAUGUGCAAGAAACUUCUUAAAAUUAAAUGUGUUACAGUCAUUUAGAUGGUUCAGAAUAUUGAGGUCUUGGAAGACUGGAGGAAUAAGAGUGGCUCCCCUUUCUUCAGACUUAGUAUUUGCAUAAAGUCAAAAAGAGAAAGUCUUGCCUCAGAGGGAGCUCUAGAUUUAGUGUCUCUCUGGGUUUGUUGUGACCUUAUUUAGAUCUGAGUUGCAAAAUUUAUGAAUACUCAAAGUAAAAGCAGUAUAUUACCCUCACGAGUCUUUGUAAAUGCUAUUUUAAAAGUAUUAUCUUUUCCUAAUAUUAAAACAAAAGAAUUUUAU
Taeniopygia guttata (zebra finch) is the source of this 3356-nucleotide long non-coding RNA. The record is from Ensembl. NCBI's taxonomy places the organism in Eukaryota, Metazoa, Chordata, Aves, Passeriformes, Estrildidae.